RNAcentral lists this ribosomal RNA (382 nucleotides) under uncultured eukaryote. RNAcentral describes it as "partial 18S ribosomal RNA". It matches the Rfam family "Eukaryotic small subunit ribosomal RNA", at positions 592 to 975 of the family's 1831-position model. The record is from RNAcentral.
CAAUAGCGUAUAUUAAAGUUGUUGCAGUUAAAAAGCUCGUAGUUGGAUUUCUGGUGGGAGCGAUCGGUCUGGCGCUUAGCGCGAGUACUUGCAUCGUCUCCGGCCAUCCUUGGGGAGAGUCUGUCUGGCAUUAGGUUGUCGGGCAGAGGAUCCUCAUCGUUUACUGUGAAAAAAUUAGAGUGUUCAAAGCAGGCUUAUGCCGUUGAAUAUAUUAGCAUGGAAUAAUAAGAUAGGACUUUGGUACUAUUUUGUUGGUUUGCGCACCAAAGUAAUGAUUAAUAGGGACAGUUGGGGGUAUUCGUAUUCCGUUGUCAGAGGUGAAAUUCUUGGAUUUACGGAAGACGAACUACUGCGAAAGCAUUUUCCAAGGAUGUUUUCAUUA